GUCAAAUAACACUAUUGAGCAUGUUUCUCGUGUAGUAUUUUAAAUAAUAAAAAUCAAUUAAUUGACAGGAUUAUAACAGCCCUCGAAAUAAUUACCCUUGUGUUUAUGUGGAAAUGAACUUCAUUAAGAGUAAUGACGGGUGUGCAUCAUUGUAACUAUCUCCUCCAGGAGAAACUAACCAACUAUAUACACUGUAUAUAUACACUAACACAUUUUCAUUUAUUAUAUGUGAUCUCAUUACAAUUCACGUAAAAUGAUGAAUAAUCAUGAAUAAUAUUAACAAUAAGAGAAUAAUACCAGAAGUAUCUAAGCUAACUGUACUCGAUCUGUACGGGGGUGAAAUUAUUGCACUUACCUAGUUUAUUGGAUUUAUUUUUCUUUAAUGAAGUUUUUCCUAUUGAAUAUAAUCAAUAGGACUGAUGUACGCGUGCCCGUCUUCCUUCCUCUUCCUUGGAUUGUGAAUCAGAAACGGCCGCUUGUGUACACCGUACCAUUCAACGCAAGCGCAGACGGUUGGUUGCUUCCGAUCGGAUGCUCUGGCGUCACUCCGGACUUUUAUUUAUUGUGUGCAUUUUUCUUCUUCUUGUUGGCCAGUUUAUCGGAAUUUUCUAUUAUUAAUACAUUAACCACUCUCUUAAUAACUAUAUUUAAUAUUACGCUUUAAAUAUUAAGUGGCGUGAUUAUGAUGAACGCACGAAAAGUGACAUAAUUGCAUUUUGUUUUGUAAUUAUGCUGUUUCGCUAUUGUUGCUAUUUCCGGUUAUGGAAAUAAUAUUUACAGCUAUUCUCAAACUUAUCGCAUUGUCAGUUGUGUGUUGUGAUUUACACUCGAAAACAAAUAUUUCACAGUUACGAUUUUCCGUAUAUCUCUUAAUUUCGCUUACGAUAUGAAUUUUAAAUCAAUACCUGAUACGCAUUGUCCGAUGUGUCACAUCGUGUAUUUCCAAACACAGCGCAAUUCUUUCAGAUGCGUGUCACUUGCGCGUUUAAAAAAAUUCACCGCCAGAAAUGUAAUGUGUUAGUCAAUAAAUACCUAAAACGUCACACAAAUAGUUUCUAGUAUCGGUAGAAUAAUAUAUUACUAAAAAUUACAUGUACGUUUAUUUUAUUAAUUUUAAUGAUGCGUUGAUGUCAUUAAUAUAUUCUGC
This 1147-nucleotide long non-coding RNA is filed under the name Androctonus crassicauda. Lineage: Eukaryota; Metazoa; Arthropoda; Arachnida; Scorpiones; Buthidae. The record is from RNAcentral.